RNAcentral lists this long non-coding RNA (1057 nucleotides) under Gossypium barbadense (sea-island cotton). RNAcentral describes it as "long non-coding RNA (GBAR_LNC021215)". The record is from RNAcentral. Lineage: Eukaryota; Viridiplantae; Streptophyta; Magnoliopsida; Malvales; Malvaceae.
AGAGUUUUAGACUUAAAUAGUUUUCUUCUACUGUAGCCAGAAGAUCCUCUUCCGAUAUGAAGACAAUUGCGAGUGGAGAUUGCUUCGGAUCCGCGCUUCAAUAUAUUUAUCAAUGAGCAUUCCCUUUACUCUUCUACUUUAUUCUUUUAUUUUUAUUUCAUUAGCCUGAUCAACUAAUGUUUGUAUGAAUUUUAGAAUAAUUAUUGUGCUUUAUUUAUAUCUUGCAUGAUUUGUUUAUUUAACUGAUUAAUUCAUCAAGUUGAUUAAUUAACAAAAUAAUAAGGAUUCAUAAUAGGGUUAGUUGGUAUAGAUACACAUUAUAAAACUCUAGGUGUGACAACCCUAAGAAAUUAUCAUAGGGGAGACGAGAUUGGAAGAUAAGUCGAAUCGAGUAAAUCGUAGUCUAUCUUGAUUGAGAAAGUGAGAUUGGGAGGUAAUAUUAGUUAAUUAAUAGCUAAUUCAUAUUAAAACCCAAAUUUUAAAAUUAGUUAAUAUUCUAUUUAUUAAUUAGGGAUUUAAUUAAUCAUAGGCUAGAGGCUUGCAUUGUAAACACUAGGAAUAAGAAAGUCUAUUAGGUUAAUAUGAAUUUAAUAAUUUAAUUAGUUUAAUAAAUCUAUUAUUUUGGACUUACACUACUAAUUCAUGACCGAAUUAGAUUAGUUAUUAUUUUAUGUAAUUAAUUUAAUAAAUAAAUUUUCCAAUCUUCAAUUCCUUGGGUAUGGUACUCGAAAUACUUACCAAUGUUUCUUUGUAAACUUUACUAUAUUACAAUUUGAUUCGUACACUUGUGGACACUGCCGAUUUAAUUAUAUAUAUUUUGGGUGUGAUAUUUUUAUUAUAAAUGAUAAUAUGUUUAUAGGCAGUCAAGUUGUUACCGCCAUUGUCGGGGAUUGCAACGUUGAAAUUUUUAUUAAAUUGAUUACUAUAAAGUAAUAGUAGUCAAAAGAAAAACGAGUUAUAUAGUGUUUUAACUUUUAUUUAACUAUUUAUAUUUUAUAUUUUUAGUGUGGAAAAAAUAUAAAAAAUUAUUAUUAAAGGAAAAAUUAAUAUUUUUGCA